This is an RNA transcript of Ipomoea nil (Japanese morning glory), 2902 nucleotides long. It is a transcript of the gene named protein ROOT PRIMORDIUM DEFECTIVE 1, with no coding region annotated. NCBI's taxonomy places the organism in Eukaryota, Viridiplantae, Streptophyta, Magnoliopsida, Solanales, Convolvulaceae. The transcript is spliced from 5 exons. The record is from RefSeq and is a predicted model, not a curated record.
CGGAGAAAUAAUGAAUGAGCACCGCGUCAUCCCCAAACGCCGCCUUCAUGUUGAAGUGCGCCGCCGCGACCUCGAAUGCCAAAUCAGUUUAUAAACUCCGUCGAUUUUGCAGGACCUGCCACUGUGCCGGUGAUUCGCAGAAUCAUUAGGAGAUGAUUUCCCGGAAGAAGACGAUGACGAAGAAGGUGAGGGGCCGGCUAUGAGAGGAGAAGUGGGGUUUUGUUGUUGCUGAAAAGUUUGCGGCGGCGGUGUCGAUUAGGUGGAGGUUUAGACGUGGUGGAGUUUGUGCUUGGUUCUUGAUUUUCUGAUCUGGAACCAAUAGAAGACUUUGGCGUCGCCGAUUUGACCGUCCAUUCCAGAAUUGAAGAUAACUUCAAGAAUGCGUAUUUAAUCUGGCUUCGGAUUCCAUCUCGCCUUUGGCUCUGGAGCGCUCAUCUCUUCACUCCCACCAGUUGAAGGGGCUGUUAACGGUGGUUUGAGGGAAGAGCUGAGAAUGUCACGGUGGCAGUGCCAUGGGUGGAGAGUGUUGCUAGGCCAGUGUCUCUUUGAUGAAGACAUUGAUGAAUGAUGAAUGCAUUCAAUGGAAGCCCCAAAACCCACCUUUUAUUUUAAUUUGCUGCUCUCUCCCUCUCUUGUUUUUGACAAUUCAUAAUGUUCUUUCUUUGUUGGUGAUGAAAUUAGGGGGUGUGACAUCCAUGGACACAUUCUUGGAAAGGUUCUUUUCGAAAGUUUAUAGAAAGAAUAACGAGUUGCCAACUUGCCAUUACCUGGGUUCCAUGUCAUUAAACUUGCAGAAAAUCAGUGAACUCCAAGCUAUGUUGAUUGGACACAGCAACAAGACCAGAAAGUUUCUCCUCAAAAUUCUCUGGUUCUCUUCUCAAAAUUCAAUAUUUUCUCACUCCAUAGCUUGUUCAUAUAUCCAGAGGCAGAGCUAUGUGAAUGUGUACAUGAAAUGGAAGCAAGAUUUCUACUUCGAUUCAAUUGAGUCCGUUCACAAAUCCAUUGAAUUGCAGCCCAUAAUCGCCCUCAAGAACUACAUAGUUUCUGCUUCACCUGAAGAGUAUUCCAUCCCCAUUUCUGAUGUUUCCAAGAAGGGCUUACGUUUUGGGGUGCGCAUUAAGGUUGCCAGGUUCUUGAGGCAAUACCCUUCUGUUUUCGAGGAGUUUACUGGCCCCAAGCACAAUCUUCCCUGGUUCAGGCUGACCCAGAGAGCCAUUGAGCUUGAUAAGGAGGAGAGAGAGGUUUACAGAGCGUUUAAGGAUGACCUUCUGUUAAGGUUGAAGAAGUUGGUUUUGAUGAGUUGUGUUAGUUUUGGUGAUAAAAAGGUCCUGCCUUUGAAGAUCAUCCAGGGUAUGCAGUGGUAUUUGGGAUUUCCUGACGAUUUCUUGACAGACCGUGAAAGUAAUCUUCCCAAAUCUUUUGAAAUUGUGGAAAUGGGGGAUGGUCUGAAAGGACUGGCUCUUAACAAUGAAGGGAAUGAAAAGGUGCUGUCUGUGAUGCAGAGGAAUGCAAUGAAAAGAGGAGUGUAUGAUGGUGGGGAGAAUGAAACCAUUGCAUUUCCCACAUUUCCAUCAAAGGGGUUGAGGUUGAGGAGAAAGAUUAUAGAUUGGUAUGAUGAUUUUCAGAAGCUUCCUUAUGUUUCACCUUAUGAAAACUAUUCAGCUAUAAGGCCUGAUAGCGAAACGGCAGAGAAACGGGUGCUGGGCUUGCUUCAUGAGUUGCUUAGCUUGUUUGUGGAGCAUGCUGCUGAAAGGAAAAAGCUUUUGUGUCUCAGGAAGUACUUGGGGUUGCCACAAAAGGUGCACAAGGCAUUUGAGAGGCACCCUCACAUUUUCUAUCUAUCUUUGAAGAACAAGACCUGCACUGCAAUAUUAAAGGAGGCUUAUUGUGAACAAGGUGCAAUUGAAGUACAUCCUCUAGCAAAGGUGAGGAAGAAGUACAUCAAUUUGGUGAAGGAAUCGGCUUUUAUUUUGAAAAGUAGAAGGUUCAACAAUAGGCCACGAGAUCAGGGAAAUAUGAAUGUAAAGGACUUAGAUUGUACAGAAGAUGAGAAUGAGAAGACUGGAAUUGAAGCUGCUUAAGUAAUGAUUUUCAAGAUGAAAGUUGUGUGCUUCUAGAAGUGGCUAAAUGAAACUUGAGCCAAAGUGACCUAGCAGAACUUGAAGGCUAUACAGAUACAUUGAAUAUAAUGCUAACCUAGCUUCAGGUGCUUUAUCACUACAGCUAGAUCACUUAUUGGAUGAUGCAAUUAAGAAACUUGGGUUGAAGAUAGCAGAGGGAGGAUCCUAUCUAUUCAAUUCAAGUCGCUUCUCGCUAACAAUGCACAAAUAGUGUUUGGCUCUGAUUGGCCAGUAGCAGAUAUUAAUCCAUUGAGAAGCAUAGCGACAGCAAUGAAAAGAAUGCCUGCCAGUCAACAAAAGGACGUUGGAUUCCAUCAGAACGCAUGAGUCUAAACGAGGCACUAGAUGUGACCUUGGAUUUAACUGAUGUCAAGUAUACAAUCUCGGCUGCUCGCGCAUGCUUCCUUGACAAAUUAAAGAUGUUGGAUCACUCACUCUCUCCUGGGAAGCUGGCAGAUUUUGUGGUUUUGUCUACUGAUUCAUGGGAUUCUUUUGCAAGUGAUGGAUUUGCCUCGGUUCAAGCAACAAAUCACAAAAAGACCAAGGCUGAUUACGAGAUGGAACUUGAGAGAGAAUGAAAUACAUUGUAAUGUGUAUACUUCUUUCCUGUAGUAUAUUUCAAUGCUUAAACUAGAAAUUGUGACACCCUCCUAAACACCAUACACUGGAAACUUGGAGGUUUUGCCUUUUAAACUUCAAGAAACAUGUACGACAGGCCUGAAAAUUGCAUAACAGUUUGUUCAUAUUUGUUAUUAGGCAAAAGAUUCUGAUGAUUUCUCAAA